Molecule: ribosomal RNA, 253 nt
Filed under: uncultured bacterium
Lineage: Bacteria
Description: partial 16S ribosomal RNA
Rfam family: Bacterial small subunit ribosomal RNA
Source: RNAcentral
UACGUAGGGGGCAAGCGUUGUCCGGAUUUAUUGGGCGUAAAGAGCGUGUAGGCGGCUAGAUAGGUCCGUUGUGAAAACUCGAGGCUCAACCUCGAGACGUCGAUGGAAACCAUCUGGCUAGAGUCCGGAAGAGGAGAGUGGAAUUCCUGGUGUAGCGGUGAAAUGCGCAGAUAUCAGGAAGAACACCCGUGGCGAAGGCGGCUCUCUGGGACGGUACUGACGCUGAGACGCGAAAGCGUGGGGAGCAAACAGG